CGAAGGAGUGGCGAACGGGUGAGUAAUACAUAAGCAACCUACCCACGAAGACUGGGAUAAUCUCUGGAAACGGGGACUAAUACCGGAUAGGUAAUCGGAAGGCAUCUUCUGGUUAUUAAAGGUUAAAAACACUGGUGGAUGGGCUUAUGGCGCAUUAGUUAGUUGGUGAGGUAACGGCCCACCAAGACGAUGAUGCGUAGCCGGCCUGAGAGGGUGAACGGCCACAUUGGGACUGAGACACGGCCCAG
Molecule: ribosomal RNA, 248 nt
Filed under: uncultured bacterium
Lineage: Bacteria
Description: partial 16S ribosomal RNA
Rfam family: Bacterial small subunit ribosomal RNA
Source: RNAcentral